Anneissia japonica is the source of this 977-nucleotide long non-coding RNA. RefSeq lists it as uncharacterized. NCBI's taxonomy places the organism in Eukaryota, Metazoa, Echinodermata, Crinoidea, Comatulida, Comatulidae. The record is from RefSeq and is a predicted model, not a curated record. The transcript is spliced from 4 exons.
AUUGUGUCUCCUUAUAAUUAUAGUUUUACAAAAUUGAAAAACAAAUAUGAGUAAACAUAUCUUAAGGAUUAAUGUAAUGGGAAAGACCAAGAGGAAACAAGAUAGUGAUGAUAUAUAAUUUUAGGCUAAAGGCCUUAUGCUGAAAUGGAAAGAAGAGCAAGAAAGGGAUGCCAGUGGAGACAUUAGCAAACGAGGACCUCUGCCUGAAAGCUGAACACAAGAGUAGUCGGAAAUGGUGGAUCCUGCCAAUUGAAAUGGUUUUACAUGCUUGAUUUGGCAUUCAGUAGUAUCUGGAUAUCCAAACGGUGUGGACUUACACAUUUCCUUGUGAAAAAGGAUUGCACUGGAAAUCAGAUUUUGAAUAAUCAUCUACUUGACUGGACAAUUUUAUUUACCCAGAGAGCAUUCCUGACAAACAAAUUUAUUUUCUGCUGCAAAAAAAAAUCACCAUUAAUCCCAUCUGUCUGGGAAAAUACCUGUACAGGUCUGGUUUGGAAGAUACAUUUUGAAGUCAGUUUGGGCCUUGUCUGUAAGAUAAAUGUAUAGUUGAAAAUGACAGCGUUUGACUAGUGUAGUUGGGAUAAACCAGGCUAACGAAAUUCUACGAAGCUGGAGUAACUAGAGGCUAACCAAACAAAAUGGCGCAUUUUUCAAAGGAUUCAGGGAAACUCAAACUAUUUGUCAUUCUGUUUGUUGUGGUUACACAUGCCUCUUAUGGAAUCACAUUAAAUAAAGAUGUCUUCAGUCAUCCAUAAAAGAAGUGGAGUGCCUGAAGACAGACGAUCAGUAUCUGUUAGAUUUCCUUUUAACCCAAGAAUAGGCCUACAGUACAUUUUACUACACAAAAUGCCUACAGUGUUAAGCCUUCAGUAUAAAGUGAUAGAAUACAGUCUACAGGUAAUCCUCUAUGGUUUCCGAUAUUAUUAAUUAUUUUGGAAUAUUUUAGAUUAAUUAAUUGAUGGAUUAAUUAAUUAAAC